RNAcentral lists this ribosomal RNA (482 nucleotides) under uncultured bacterium. RNAcentral's name for it is "partial 16S ribosomal RNA". It matches the Rfam family "Bacterial small subunit ribosomal RNA", at positions 28 to 507 of the family's 1533-position model. The record is from RNAcentral.
GACGAACGCUGGCGGCGUGCUUAACACGUGCAAGUCGAACGAUGAAGAAGAGAAACGCGAACUUCGGUUCAAAUUUCACUUCGGAUUAGUGGCAGACGGGUGAGUAACGCGUGAGCAACCUACCUCUUACAAAGGGAUAGCCUCGGGAAACCGUGAUUAAUACCAUAUGACACAUUCAUAAGGCAUCUUAAGAAUGUUAAAGCUACGGCGGUAAGAGAUGGGCUCGCGUCCCAUUAGCUAGUUGGUGAGGUAACGGCCCACCAAGGCGACGAUGGGUAACCGGCCUGAGAGGGUGGUCGAUCACAUUGGAAGUGCGACGCGAUCCACACUCCUACGGCAGGCAGCAGUGGGGAGUAUUGCACAAUGGAGGGAACUCUGAUGCAGCGACGCCGCGUGAGCGGUGAUGGAAUUCUUUUCGUAAUACUCUGUUCUAUGAGAAGAAAAGGACUGUACCAUAGGAGAAAGCCCCGGCUGAUUACGUG